CCCUCCACAAGUACGAUGGAUUCGGAGCAGUGAGCAUUCGUUAUACCAUGAUGCUCCAUAUAGGAGGGAUCGUCGCAGUUACAGCAUUGCAAGGUAACCUAAAGCUUCUGCAGUGUUAAACAUUAACACAAGCUCAUAAGCUUCUGUAGUCCAUUGGGUGGCUCUUGCAGAGGAUGGACUACUCUCCACAACCCUUUUCUUUUUCCAAGCACAUCGAAUUCUACAUUUAAUGGAUUUUGGAUCAGAGAUCAUUCCAAUGGCUGCUGAAGAAUACAAUGUUCAGGCAUAUCUAUUUAAUGGCUACUGGGAAGAUAUUAGGACCAUUUAUUCCUUUUUUUAUGCUAACUUGGCUCUCACAGAUUAGAUGAAGGAAUGGGUAUUGUAUGUUGGAACAAAAGGUUGCUGAUAACAGGUAUCUCUAGAGCUGUUCUAUGCAUUUCCAUUUCAUCUUCUUUUCCUUCUGUCAUUUUAACUCUCUCACAUUAGUUUUCUUUAGGUCAGACUUUUGGUUGGGGCAUAGUUAGUACCUGAUGUAUAGUUUGGGGCAGAGUUACUGUUUGAUGUAGUGGGUUGCAAAUCCAAGAGAAUUACAGCCGCACACAAGAAAACUCUUGUGUGCUUUUUUUCCCUCCAUUCAUUGUUACUUCUGUUUUGCCAAUAAUCUUCAUUAGAACUUGUGGCUUUCCAUUUCAUCAUCAUCGCCAAGUUUAGUUUAAUCCACUGAUGAAUCUAAAACUGAUCAUCAUCAUCAUCAUUGGGUUUAGCUUAAUCUACUGACAAAUUUUUUUAAAAAGCUACCACCUUGGAAAUUUUGGUCCAUUCCAUCCUUGAUUUAUGAAAGCUACUAACUUCAUGAGAAGAGUAUGAUUAGUUUUGUUUUGUUUAUUUUUAUUUUUAUUUUUAUGUUUUGUAUUGACUUGAUUUAUGUAUAGACCAUGUACCUAGUUCUAAUGGAGAAACCAGGUGCAAGGAUGGGCUUUCAUCAGACAUUGUACAUGAGACAUACAUGAACUCAAAUUGAAACCGGAUUGAAUUAUGUGACCUACUGUCUUGAAGUAAUUGUCCCAAAAUCAAAUUGGUUGAGCAAUCAUGAUCUUUGAUUCGUAGACACAUGUUUCUUGAAAUACAUGGAGAACAGAUUGAAAAAUGCUUGGUAUCUGCGUCAGAAUGUUCACAUGAACUCUUGAAACAAGCAGGAAGCAGCUGCAUGCAAUUCUAUUCAAGUGAGGAGCCGUGAGCCUUGGGGCUUUUUCAGUGGGGUACACUGGACUUAGAUUGAAAAAAUAGAUUAAAAAAAAACCUUUAAAAUCACAUUUAAGAUGGCCCUCAUUAGCUGAGAUUCUUUGACAUUAACAAGGCUUGUGUAGGAGAACUACAUCUCACAUGGAGAAACAGGUACUAAAAAAUAGACUGAACAAGUAAUGACUUUUGUUGUCACCUUUUCUAAUUUGGCAGCUACCUUAACUGUUGGCAUCUACUAGAAAAUCAUUGUUUACUUUUUGUCAUAGCUAGACUAGAAGAAAAGCUCUUGGACAUGGUAUGAACCGCGUCUCUCUAUCUUUCUUUUUCUUUUUUAUAUGCUUUUAUAUGAC
Molecule: long non-coding RNA, 1592 nt
Organism: Magnolia sinica
Lineage: Eukaryota; Viridiplantae; Streptophyta; Magnoliopsida; Magnoliales; Magnoliaceae
Exons: 4
Source: RefSeq, a predicted model, not a curated record